Molecule: transfer RNA, 73 nt
Filed under: Megaselia scalaris
Lineage: Eukaryota; Metazoa; Arthropoda; Insecta; Diptera; Phoridae
Rfam family: tRNA
About the family: Transfer RNA (tRNA) molecules are approximately 80 nucleotides in length. Their secondary structure includes four short double-helical elements and three loops (D, anti-codon, and T loops). Further hydrogen bonds mediate the characteristic L-shaped molecular structure. tRNAs have two regions of fundamental functional importance: the anti-codon, which is responsible for specific mRNA codon recognition, and the 3' end, to which the tRNAs corresponding amino acid is attached (by aminoacyl-tRNA synthetases). tRNAs cope with the degeneracy of the genetic code in two manners: having more than one tRNA (with a specific anti-codon) for a particular amino acid; and 'wobble' base-pairing, i.e. permitting non-standard base-pairing at the 3rd anti-codon position.
Source: Rfam by way of RNAcentral
CCCCGGCUAGCUCAGUCGGUAGAGCAUGAGACUCUUAAAUUUAGGGUCGUGGGUUUCAGCUCCACGUUGGGCG